Molecule: non-coding RNA, 287 nt
Organism: Vigna umbellata (rice bean)
Lineage: Eukaryota; Viridiplantae; Streptophyta; Magnoliopsida; Fabales; Fabaceae
Source: RefSeq, a predicted model, not a curated record
CUGUCUUGCCGAUAAUGUAAUAUAUCUUUUCUGUUAUCAGGAGCUACCAAGUCAGUUUAUGCCCCUGAGCCUUUUGACGUUGGACGCUUAUUGCUAGUUGAUAUUAUUUCAAAAGGCCAGGAGAUUACAUUGUCAACCACUGGUCCAAUUGAUCCAGCUGCUGGUUUGGGAACCUAUGUUGAGGCACUUGUGCGAAAGCAUGAUACUGAAUUCAAUGUGGUUGUAACUCAGACUGGCUCAGACCAUCCAACUGAAUCUAUUCAUGUGCUCCAUGUUGGAAAGAUGAG